This 248-nucleotide long non-coding RNA is filed under the name Elaeis guineensis (African oil palm). Its description in RNAcentral is "long non-coding RNA (EGUI_LNC030302)". The record is from RNAcentral. Lineage: Eukaryota; Viridiplantae; Streptophyta; Magnoliopsida; Arecales; Arecaceae.
AGCUCUUUCAUCUCCAUCCACACGUGUGCAUUAGAAAAGGUGCAAUUAGACCGCGCCAAAGCCCACGGUGGAUAACACACCACGCUGCCCCUCGUAUUUCACCAAUUCCCGAUCACACACUAUCCAACAUGCAUAUGCUUCGAGAUUUAUGCUGCUUCACUUUGAUUUUGUGCAUGCAAUAAUUUCUCGUAUUAGCGAGUGAACGGUUCACUCAAAUGGCACAGAAUAAGUUUAGUGGCUCGUUUCUC